GAUUCCUACGGGAGGCAGCAGUGGGGAAUAUUGCACAAUGGGCGAAAGCCUGAUGCAGCGACGCCGCGUGAGGGAUGAAGGCCUUCGGGUUGUAAACCUCUUUCAGCAGGGAAGAAGCGCAAGUGACGGUACCUGCAGAAGAAGCACCGGCUAACUACGUGCCAGCAGCCGCGGUAAUACGUAGGGUGCAAGCGUUGUCCGGAAUUAUUGGGCGUAAAGAGCUUGUAGGCGGUUUGUCGCGUCUGCUGUGAAAUUUCGGGGCUCAACCCCGAACUUGCAGUGGGUACGGGCAGACUAGAGUGUGGUAGGGGAGACUGGAAUUCCUGGUGUAGCGGUGAAAUGCGCAGAUAUCAGGAGGAACACCGAUGGCGAAGGCAGGUCUCUGGGCCACUACUGACGCUGAGAAGCGAAAGCAUGGGGAGCGAACAGGAUUAGAUACCCUGGUAGUCCAUGCCGUAAACGUUGGGAACUAGGUGUGGGCCUCAUUCCACGAGGUCCGUGCCGCAGCUAACGCAUUAAGUUCCCCGCCUGGGGAGUACGGCCGCAAGGCUAAAACUCAAAGGAAUUGACGGGGGCCCGCACAAGCGGCGGAGCAUGCGGAUUAAUUCGAUGCAACGCGAAGAACCUUACCAAGGCUUGACAUGUGCCGGAAAAGUGCAGAGAUGUGCUCCCCGCAAGGUCGGUACACAGGUGGUGCAUGGUUGUCGUCAGCUCGUGUCGUGAGAUGUUGGGUUAAGUCCCGCAACGAGCGCAACCCUCGUUCUAUGUUGCCAGCACGUGAUGGUGGGGACUCAUAGGAGACUGCCGGGGUCAACUCGGAGGAAGGUGGGGAUGACGUCAAAUCAUCAUGCCCCUUAUGUCUUGGGCUUCACGCAUGCUACAAUGGCCAGUACAAAGGGCUGCGAUACCGUAAGGUGGAGCGAAUCCCAAAAAACUGGUCUCAGUUCGGAUUGGGGUCUGCAACUCGACCCCAUGAAGUCGGAGUCGCUAGUAAUCGCAGAUCAGCAACGCUGCGGUGAAUACGUUCCCGGGCCUUGUACACACCGCCAUCGGAUCCCCG
This 1060-nucleotide ribosomal RNA is filed under the name uncultured Oryzihumus sp. RNAcentral describes it as "bacterial SSU rRNA". It matches the Rfam family "Bacterial small subunit ribosomal RNA", at positions 334 to 1407 of the family's 1533-position model. Lineage: Bacteria; Bacillati; Actinomycetota; Actinomycetes; Micrococcales; Intrasporangiaceae. The record is from RNAcentral.